GGAAUAUAUGCUUAUCUGUGUUUCAUCAAAAAUGAAUUAAGUUGAAUCUUCUCCAUUUAAUGGUCGCAUAUUGUUAUUCCUGUUGUUGGUUUCGUUCUUAGUUGUUUUGAUUAUGAAAAAAUCAAUUUCGUAGAGAACCGUUCGAAGCACCGAAACGAUCCAGUAACAAUGAAGAAAUUAAGGGAAGUUGUCGUUUCAAGUUCAAACAAGAAAGCUCCAAAUUCGUCAAGUAAGAAAAAGGUUGAUGAUUCUGGACGACCACGUCUAUCAAAGGUUUAAUUAAUUAUCAUUAAAAUAUGUAUUAGCAACAC
This 311-nucleotide long non-coding RNA is filed under the name Capsicum annuum. RNAcentral's name for it is "long non-coding RNA (CANN_LNC003817)". Lineage: Eukaryota; Viridiplantae; Streptophyta; Magnoliopsida; Solanales; Solanaceae. The record is from RNAcentral.